UUUGUUUUUUUUUUUUAUUUAUAGGUACAAUAUUGAACCUAAACUCAUGGCCAGUAAGUAGUUAACAAGUAUUCAAGCCUGGUCUGUCAGCCAGACAGCUAAAAUAAAGCACCGUGCUGCAGGAAAAGCCUAAUGAAGUCGCCGAAGUGAAUCGAUGGAAGAAUGUCAAAAAAGAUGAAUGUUAAACAGACCAUCUGAAGUUUUUAAAUAAAAGAGAUGUGCUGUAUGGUGGUGCAAGAUAUUCCAGUAAGCCUGCUAAAAGGCAUCUAUAUCUACACAAUUAUCCAUGUAAUACCGUGCAGGGGGAACGGAUUAGUGACUACAAAUCUGUGUGUGAAAUGGGAUGCUGGAGUCUGCAGGACAGAGGAAGAACUCUUGAUGCCUGGGUAAGGACAGACCCUGGAAGACUUUUCCAAGGUAAAAGGACAUGCUUUGCUCACCACAAGGGACUGGAGAGUGCGGCGUUUAAUAAGACCCAAGAGAGAACAGAGGAGGAGGAAAAAG
This is a long non-coding RNA of Neopsephotus bourkii (Bourke's parrot), 504 nucleotides long. RefSeq lists it as uncharacterized. Lineage: Eukaryota; Metazoa; Chordata; Aves; Psittaciformes; Psittacidae. The transcript is spliced from 3 exons. The record is from RefSeq and is a predicted model, not a curated record.